RNAcentral lists this unclassified non-coding RNA (218 nucleotides) under uncultured Paracoccaceae bacterium. Its description in RNAcentral is "uncultured Rhodobacteraceae bacterium contains 16S-23S intergenic spacer region". It matches the Rfam family "Bacterial small subunit ribosomal RNA", at positions 976 to 1195 of the family's 1533-position model. The record is from RNAcentral. Lineage: Bacteria; Pseudomonadati; Pseudomonadota; Alphaproteobacteria; Rhodobacterales; Paracoccaceae.
UGGGUUUGACAUCGCCUGACCGGCCUGGAGACAGGUCUUUCCCGCAAGGGACAGGUGGACAGGUGCUGCAUGGCUGUCGUCAGCUCGUGUCGUGAGAUGUUCGGUUAAGUCCGGCAACGAGCGCAACCCACACCCUUGGUUGCCAGCACGUAAUGGUGGGCACUUUAGGGGAACUGCCCGUGAUAAGCGGGAGGAAGGUGGGGAUGACGUUCUCUACG